UCAAACUUGGUCAUUUAGAGGAAGUAAAAGUCGUAACAAGGUUUCCGUAGGUGAACCUGCGGAAGGAUCAUUAUUGAAUAAAUUGCCUUGGUGGGUUGUAGCUGGCCUCUUGAGGCAUGUGCACGCCUGUCUUGACUCUAUUCAUCCACCUGUGCACCUUUUGUAGUCUCUCACUUGAGGUUUAAAGCUUUUAUUCAGUUGAAACACACUGGAUUUGAGGAUUGCUUGCCACUUGCCGGCUUUCCUCUACUUGGCUUACACCUGAGCGAGGACUAUGUACUUUAUCACAAACCAUGUAGUAUGUUGCCAGAAUGUAAUAAAUGGGCCUUUGUGCCUAUAAAACCUUAUACAACUUUCAGCAACGGAUCUCUUGGCUCUCGCAUCGAUGAAGAACGCAGC
This 399-nucleotide unclassified non-coding RNA is filed under the name uncultured fungus. RNAcentral describes it as "partial contains small subunit ribosomal RNA, internal transcribed spacer 1, and 5.8S ribosomal RNA". The stretch from base 1 to 73 matches the Rfam family "Eukaryotic small subunit ribosomal RNA", at positions 1759 to 1831 of the family's 1831-position model. The record is from RNAcentral. Lineage: Eukaryota; Fungi.